ACUGUUGGAUAAGGUGUCUAAGUCCAUAACUUAUUUGGUAUAUACUUGACCCGACCGGCAUGGUCCAUUUGGGUUGCAUCUCAUCCAAACUAUUUAUGGAUAAUUUUAUGAGAGUUAUACACAUAUGUUUAUUAAUAUAUUAUAAGUUAUAAUAUAUUAAUAUGAAGUUAUGUUAUUUAAUUAGUCUUAGUCUUAAAUUAAUUAUGAAUUAAUUUAGAGAUUAAAAGGAAGACUAAUUAGAUUAUGGGCUAUUGGUUUUAUAUAGUGUGGGCUAAUACUCAUUUGUUAAUGGGCUAGGCUUAUAUGGAAGUCCAUGGAUGAUCCGUGGAGCUUUUAACCCAUGGAUCCUUGGAAAGGAAAAGACAUGGGUUAUUAGGGUUUCACCCUAACCAUGCACACUAUAUAAGCAUGCUUAUGGAGCAUGAAAUGGAAACUAGUGAACUAGUGUGUGUGAGCUUGUGUGUGGCCAAAAAUAUACAAGUGUGUAUACUCUCUCAAGUUUUCCAAGAGUUUAUGGUGUUUUGUGAUUCCAUUUGAGGCAUUCACACUAUUGGUGCUUGGCCCUCAAACUCCUCAAAAACCAAACUCAUCAAAAAGGUAUGUAAUCUCUUCUAACUCUUUAUGUUGAAAUGUUCCCCAUGCCAUGUUAGAUAGGUUAUAUACCUUGGAAAAAUUAUUAUUUUGCAUGUAUUUAGACAAACAUAGAUCCAAGGUUUAUUAGGGUUGCAUGCACACUUAGGAAGUGUUAGAUUGCUCAAAACCCAACAGUGGUAUCAGAGCCUAGGCUUGCUUGUUUGAUACUUGAUGCAAAAUAGUGAAAAAAGUCGAAAUCGUUGCUGUCUGCAUGCUAGACUCGCCGAGUCCAUUGGGGGGACUCGCCGAGUCCAAGGCAAACUUCAACCUACUCGACGAGUCCGUUCGUGCACUCGGCGAGUAGGAUCGAAAGAAUGCAGAAUCUCGACUUUUGCUGCUGGAAAUGGACUGGAAACAUUACCCUAAAUUGUUUUGGUGUUGUAAAACUUAUUUUAGUUGGUGUAAUGGUUGUUCUAAUCCAUUUACAAUAGCAUAUAUCAAAAAUCCAUGAUUUUAUGUGUUCAUAUAAUUCUUGAAUUUUUGAUGAUCAUGUUCAUGUUCUUAUGAAUUUAGAAAAUGAUAGGAAUUAUUUGCUGAAUUGUUUAGAAUUAAUUCUUAAUCAUUUAUGUGUUUUAAUGGAGUCCAUAAUUUGUCCUCAAGUUAUGGAUUACCAAAGGUCACUUUCAUUUAACACACACUUAAAACACAUAAGUUACAUGAAAAUGAAGAGUCUUCAUUUUUAUGAACCUUUAAUUCAUAAGUUAUGAAAUGAAGAGUUUUGCAAAGUUACAAAACUUGUCCUCAAGUUUUGGAAUUUGUAAAGUUUCACACACUUUAAUAAACUUUAAUUCCAAACCUUAGAGUUUUAAUAGUUAAAAUUCAACCCUUAUACUAUUUAUAACAUUAAUGGUUAAUUAUUAUAUAUAUGUAUAAGAAUAAGUCGUUUUACCGUUAGUAGGCCUCAUUCACGAAGCCGGUCUAUAAGGUGGGUAUAAGGUUGUUGCCUAUAAAAUGGCGACUUAAUGGGUGUAUACUCUCACCCACCGCUUGCUUGAUCGGUGGAGGGUCGUUAGCCGAACGGGUAGAACAACGACUUUAAAUCCUCAUUAAAAGUAUAAUGAAUAUUAUAAAAUAACUAAACUCUUUUAAUUCCCAAUCUUAGUUAUUUUAGGAAAAUGUGAACAUGGUGCUAAUCCAUGGAAUUCACACUUUGUACCUUACCAAGUCGUUAGUGGAGCGUGUGUGGUUAACCGGCACACUAAUUAGACUAGUAAGGAUCACGAAGGGUAACUUAAUGUUGUCAUAGAUCAAUGGAGCGUGUGUGGUUAACCGGCACAUUGAUUAGGUGAUAAUAUUAGGAGUACCAAGUGAGUUAGCAUGGUUAUUCACACCUUGUUUUGUGAUCCUCGGCAUCCCAGUCACAAAACUUGAAGGGCACAAUCGAGAUUGAAACAUGCCAUUGAAAAGUUCAAUGAAUCUCAAAAGAAUCUAGGAAUUUCAAAUCCAAUUAAACCUAAUUAAUCAUUUCGUUUUCAUGGUGGAAAUUGGUGAAUCGUCAUUCGCCUACCUUUCAAAUAUAUUAUUACUUAGAUUACGGCAUCCCUCUUCUAAGUGUAAUAUAUUGUGAUUGGAUCCUAGCCUUAAUAUUACAUUUGGGUGUCUUAUUAAGGAUCCUAAAUAUCUAAUCUAAACUUACUUUCUUCUUUCAGAUGUCUUCCAACACUAAUGCUUCAGGCUCUAACCCAACUGGUUCUUUCUCUCUCAUGAAUCUUUGUGGGAGGGUCAUCUUUGAUGGUUCCAACUUCAUGGAUUGGAUUAGGAACAUCAGGAUGGUUACUCGUUACGAGGACAAGGAAUAUGUCCUCGAUAAGGAGUUAAAAGAACUUGAUGAGUCUACUGCUACUCCUGAGGAGAUCGCUGAAUUCAGGACUCAUGAGAGAGAUGCUACUAAGGUGGCAUGUAUCAUGAUGGCCACGAUGACAGCCGAGCUCCAAAAGUCAUAUGAAGAUUUCUACCCUUUUGAGAUGCACCAAGACUUGAUGGAAAGGUACCAUCAGAGUGCUCGUCAGGAGCGGUAUGAAAUAAUCUCCUCCAUAAUAACUACCCGCAUGAAGGACGGUGAAUCCGUCACGGGCCACAUGCAAAAGAUGCAAAGGUAUGUGGACCGUUUGCUGAAGCUGAAUGUUAACAUCCCCGAGGAGUUAGCAAUUGACAUCAUUUUGCACUCCUUGCCUUCUUGUUAUGAUCAUUUUCGAAUGACAUAUCAUAUGAACAAGGAGGAAGUUACCCUCAGCAAGCUUCAAGGACUCUUGAAGACCGCUGAAACCGGUCUUAAGGGUAAAGCGGUUGUUACCUCUACUACUCCUACUCCAACUUCUACCCCUGUUUUAGCUAUUGGGCAAGGCAAAGGGAAAAAGAGGAAGCACCCUUCGAAGGGUACCAAGGGAAAGUCUCUUGAAGGCUCCUCAUCCAAGACUAAGAACGGUUCUGUCACUCCUUCUGCCAUUCCAAAGGAUGCUGAAUGCUUUUAUUGCCAUGAAAAGGCACACUGGAAGCGAAACUGCCCUAAGUACUUGCAGGAUCUAAAGGAUGGGAAAGUGAAACCCACCUAUGCAGGUAUUUACACUAUAUUGUCUAAUUACUCAACAUAUUCUAACUCUUGGGUGCUUGAUACAGGAUGUGGUAUUCACAUAUGUUCUGAUUUGCAGGGCCUAAGAAGAAGUGAGGAUGUGGAGCACGGGAAGAUAAACUUAAUCAUGGGGAAUAGGAAGGCUUCACCUGUUUCCAAGAUUGGAGUUUAUACUUUGUUGCUUAAUAAUGGGUUAAAAUUAGAUUUGAAUAAAUGUGUAUACUCGUCUGAAAUGGCGAGGAAUAUUAUUUCUUUUCAUGCUUUGUACAAACAAGGUUUUACCUUUUCGUUUGAUAAUGAAUGUGGUGGUAUUAAUGCUUUCUUUAAUAAUGUGUUUUAUUUUAAAGCAUUACCUUGUGAUGGCGUGUAUGAAACUGUGUCGAUUGUAGACAACUUAGGAAAUAAUGUGUUGUAUAUUGAUUCUUCUACUAGCCUAGAUAAAGCAUCAUUGUGGCAUUGUCGUCUUGGACAUGUAAACAAGAAACGCAUAGACCAACUCCAAAAGAGUGGAGUCUUGGAAUCAUUUGACCUCAAAUCAGAUGAUAGUUGUGAAUCUUGUCUACUUGGAAAAAUGACAAAAUCACCCUUCACUGGAACUUGUGAGAGGGGUGAAGGUUUGUUGGACCUAAUACAUACUGAUGUAUGUGGGCCAUUCAAAACCGCCACAAGGGACGCUAAUCGGUAUUAUGUGACUUUUAUUGAUGAUUAUAGUAGAUAUGGGUAUGUCUACUUGAUCAAACACAAGUCCGAAACCUUUGAAAGGUUUAAGGAAUUCAAACAGGAAGUAGAAAAUCAAUUGGGCAGGAACAUUAAGAUGCUUCGAUCCGAUCGAGGUGGUGAGUAUCUUAGUACCGAGUUCCUUGACUAUCUUAAGGAGUGUGGGAUUGUCUCACAAUUGACUCCUCCCAGGACACCACAGCUGAAUGGUGUAGCUGAGAGGCGUAAUCGUACCUUGUUGGACAUGGUUCGCUCUAUGAUGAGUCGAGUUUCGUUACCAAUCUCUUUUUGGGGGUAUGCCUUAGAGACUGCCGCCCAUAUCCUUAAUCUAGUCCCUACAAAGAAGGUUACCAAAACACCUCAUGAAAUGUGGACUGGGAAGGUUCCCAAUUUGGACCACAUCAAAAUUUGGGGUUGCGAAGCCUUCGUGAGGCGUGAAACUCAUGAUAAGCUUGAACCCCGAAGUGAAAGGUGUAUUUUCAUCGGCUACCCACAGAAAUCCUUCGGUUACCUUUUCUACAGACCCAGUGAGAAUGUGGUCUUUGUAGCACGAAGAGGGAUCUUUCGCGAGAAAGAAUUUAUAAGCCAAGGAGACAGUGGGAGGCAGAUUGAUCUUGAAGAAAUUCAAGAAUCAAUUGGUGAAGGAACCUCAGACACUAGCAAUCAACCUGAGGAAGAAACUCCUGUUGAUCCAGCUGACGAGUCUGUACCUCCGAGACGUUCCACACGGGUUAGGAACACACCUUCGUUUUAUUAUGGUUUUCAUAUUACUACGGAAGGUGAUACGUUUAUUAGUGAUAGUACACUAGUAAAUUUGGAUGAACCUAGCAGUGUUAAGGAAGCCAUGGCAGGCCCGGAGUCUGCUAAAUGGAAGGAGGCUAUGGACAGCGAGAUACAGUCCAUGUAUGACAAUCAAGUUUGGAACUUGGUUGACAAUGUACCAGGCCGUAAAACAGUCGGGUGCAAAUGGAUCUUCAAAAAGAAGACCGACAUGGAAGGAAAAGUGCAUACUUAUAAGGCUCGACUGGUUGCGAAGGGUUUUACUCAAACUCAAGGUAUUGAUUAUGAUGAAACCUUCUCGCCGGUGGCCAAGAUUAAGUCUAUUAGGGUUAUGUUAGCCAUUGCAGCAUUUCAUGAUUAUGAAAUAUGGCAAAUGGAUGUCAAAACCGCUUUCCUUAAUGGAAAGUUGGCUGAGGAUGUGUACAUGAAUCAGCCAGAGGGUUUUGUCAAUGCAGAGUACCCUAAUAGAGUAUGCAAGCUUAAGAAAUCCAUUUAUGGAUUAAAACAAGCAUCUCGUAGCUGGAAUCUUUGUUUUGAUGAGAAGGUAAAAGAGUUUGGCUUCUUGAGAAGCGAAGAUGAGUCUUGCGUGUAUGUCAGAGCUAGUGGGAGUAUAGUUAGCUUCUUGGUACUGUAUGUGGAUGACAUACUACUCAUAGGAAAUGACAUCCCAACCUUGCAGGAGGUUAAGUCCUGGCUUGGGAAGUGCUUUGCUAUGAAGGACCUAGGGGAGGCUACCUAUAUCCUAGGGAUAAGGAUAUUAAGAGAAAGGAGUAGAAGACUAAUUGGACUUAGUCAGAGUAUCUACUUGGAUAAGGUGUUGAAAAGGUUCAACAUGGAGAAUUCCAAGAAAGGAGAUUUACCGAUCCAAAGCAAUACCAAACUGAGUAAGACUCAGAGUCCGAGUACAGAGGCUGAGAUAGCUGAGAUGAGCCAAUUACCAUAUGCUUCCGCAGUUGGCUCGAUCAUGUAUGCUAUGACUUGUACCCGUCCUGAUGUGGCAUUUGCUUUGAGCAUGGUCAGCAGGUAUCAGGGGAACCCUGGCAAGGCUCAUUGGACCGCGGUAAAGAACAUUCUCAAGUACCUGCGGAGGACUAAGGAUUGGGUCCUUACCCUUGGUGGCAGUGAUGACUUGAGAAUAUUAGGGUAUAGUGAUGCUGGUUUUCAGACUGAUAGGGAUAAUUUCCGCUCUCAGUCGGGCUGGAUCUUUACCUUAAAUGGAGGGGCAAUUUCUUGGAAGAGUUCCAAGCAGGAGACGGUGGCUGAUUCGACUUGUGAAUCAGAGUAUAUAGCAGCGAGUGAAGCAGCGAAGGAGGCGAUAUGGCUAAAGAACUUCAUCGGAGACCUUGGAGUUGUACCAGCUAUUAAGGAACCUAUAGAGAUUUUCUGUGACAACAAUGCUGCGGUUAUCUUAGCCAAGGAACCAAGAGAUCAUGGCAGAUCCCGACACAUUGACAGAAAAUAUCACUUCAUAAGGCACAAGAUUGAAGAAGGACUCCUUGUGACAAGGAGGAUAUCGUCAGAUGAGAAUCCUGCAGAUCCCCUUACGAAGGGACUGACGAGGGUUAAGCAUUUUCAGCAUGCGAGACGCAUCGGGCUGAGGGACGAUAUUAGUUUUACAGAUUAGAUAGUUUUCCUGAAACUUGUAAAAUGUAAUCGACGUUUGAUGAUGAAUAAAAUUUGUGAUUUAUUUAUGAGUAAAGUGUUACUAUCAUUGUCAAUUAUUUACUAUUGUUUCAGUUUUGCAUGUUUUGACUUCCAGAAUAAUUAAUUUGUUCAAACCUCCACAAUCGAUCAUACGUCGGAAGUAGGUAUGAAUCAAGAUUGUCAUGAAUUGGGUUUGUAGAUGCCUUAAAGGUGUUUAGGCAUGGCAAUGGUUGCUGCAACAUUCAUGAGUACUCAUAAGUUAUGAGUAUUGGUAUAAACCCACGCUCACUUGUAUCACUUCAUGGAAUUUAUCUCGAGUGAUCGUGAGACGAUAACAUCAUAUAAAUCUUUAAACCUAGAGAUAUGAGUUGUUACCUAUGAGUUGGUUGUGCAUUGAUUGCACGUAAACGCAUCAGUAACUUGAUGUUAUAAAACGUGCCUUUGUGUACAAUUCAAUAAGUAGUAGAACAAGCAUAUCAGUCGAAGUUUAUCUGUUCCUUCUAGAAAUAGAAGCGAUAUCCGGGCCCCUCGAUGAUUUUGUGUUGACCCAUAUACCAGGCCUGGUCAGAACUAAACCGAUGUGUUCAGUGAAGUUCUUCGUCAAACAAAUCGGAUAAUCGAGAAACAACUGCUAGACAAUAAGCAAGACAUAGUUCCAUGUGUUUGUCCGGCUGAUAUCAUGAGAACAGAGGAUUAUGUGAUCACUUAUCUAAAAUGGCGCUUCAUAGUUCGACAGAGUCUUCAUUGUUCGAGGGAGUUUUCGAGAGCUACGAUUGUUGGUUGGUUCCUGAAGUUAUAGGCAAAUAUAGUUAUUAGACUUAUCCAAGUGGGAGUCUGUUGGAUAAGGUGUCUAAGUCCAUAACUUAUUUGGUAUAUACUUGACCCGACCGGCAUGGUCCAUUUGGGUUGCAUCUCAUCCAAACUAUUUAUGGAUAAUUUUAUGAGAGUUAUACACAUAUGUUUAUUAAUAUAUUAUAAGUUAUAAUAUAUUAAUAUGAAGUUAUGUUAUUUAAUUAGUAUUAGUCUUAAAUUAAUUAUGAAUUAAUUUAGAGAUUAAAAGGAAGACUAAUUAGAUUAUGGGCUAUUGGUUUUAUAUGGUGUGGGCUAACACUCAUUUGUUAAUGGGCUAGGCUUAUAUGGAAGUCCAUGGAUGAUCCAUGGAGCUUUUAACCCAUGGAUCCUUGGAAAAGGAAAGGUCAUGGGUUAUUAGGGUUUCACCCUAACCAUGCACACUAUAUAAGCAUGCUUAUGGAGCAUGAAAUGGCAACUAGUGAACUAGUGUGUGUGAGCUUGUGUGUGGCCGAAAUAUACAAGUGUGUAUACUCUCUCAAAGUUUUCCAAGAGUUUGUGGUGUUUUGUGAUUCCAUUUGAGGCAUUCACACUAUUGGUGCUUGGCCCUCAAACUCCUCAAGAAUCAAACUCAUCAAAAAGGUAUGUAAUCUCUUCUAACUCUUUUAUGUUGAAAUGUUCCCCAUGCCAUGUUAGAUAGGUUAUGAACCUUGGAAAAUUAUUAUUUUGCAUGUAUUUAGACAAACAUAGAUCCAAGGUUUAUUAGGGUUGCAUGCACACUUAGGAAGUGUUAGAUUGCUC
RNAcentral lists this long non-coding RNA (7933 nucleotides) under Lactuca sativa (garden lettuce). RNAcentral's name for it is "long non-coding RNA (LSAT_LNC009370)". The record is from RNAcentral. Lineage: Eukaryota; Viridiplantae; Streptophyta; Magnoliopsida; Asterales; Asteraceae.